GGGGACGAUCGGUUUCGACGAUGUGAGUUGAUCAUGGGGAAGCGGGUCGAGGAAGCAAGAGGAUCUCGUAAAUACCCUCUGCAACCCAAUAAGUGCCGAUUCUAAGCGCACUGACUUCGCCCUGGCUGCCUGAUAAACCAGCCAGCGCAAGUCUGUCAGCCUGAGGUCGCUGUCGCCUCAGUGUCUGGCAUCAGCUAGACAGCCACUGGUGAUGCUCCCUUUUCCGUGGGGGAGUAUCACGACAAUGACACGGAUGGGCCCGGGACAGCCACUCGUCUGCAUGAUGGCUGGGGCCGAGCAACACCCUGCUGCAGACUGCACCCGGAGAAGCCCAUGAGAAUCCACAUCGGACGCGGGUUCGAUUCCCGCCGUCUCCACCC
Molecule: transfer-messenger RNA, 380 nt
Filed under: Nesterenkonia sp.
Lineage: Bacteria; Bacillati; Actinomycetota; Actinomycetes; Micrococcales; Micrococcaceae
Rfam family: transfer-messenger RNA
About the family: Bacterial tmRNA, also known as 10Sa RNA or SsrA, is named for its dual tRNA and mRNA-like properties. Its role is to liberate the mRNA from a stalled ribosome. To accomplish this part of the tmRNA is used as a reading frame that ends in a translation stop signal.
Source: RNAcentral